GAUGAAGAACGCAGCGAAAUGCGAUAAGUAAUGCGAAUUGCAGAAUUUCCGUGAGUCAUCGAAUCUUUGAACGCACAUUGCGCCCGCCAGUAUUCUGGCGGGCAUGCCUGUCUGAGCGUCAUUUCAACCCUCAAGCAACUUCUGCUUGGUGUUGGGGAUCGGCCGUCAAACGCCGCCCCCGAAAUCUAUUGGCGAUCUCGCUGUAGCUUCCUAUGCGUAGUAGUAACAUCUCGCAUCUGGAGAGCGGCGCGGUCAUGCCGUAAAACACCCAACUUCUCAGGUUGACCUCAGAUCAGGUAGGAAUACCCGCUGAACUUAAGCAUAUCAAUAAGCGGAGGA
RNAcentral lists this unclassified non-coding RNA (339 nucleotides) under soil metagenome. RNAcentral describes it as "partial contains 5.8S ribosomal RNA, internal transcribed spacer 2, and large subunit ribosomal RNA". The stretch from base 1 to 121 matches the Rfam family "5.8S ribosomal RNA", at positions 35 to 154 of the family's 154-position model. The record is from RNAcentral.